GGCCUUUUGAAUUUAAUUUAAGGUCUGACCUGCCCAGUGAUGAAUUUAACGGCCGCGGUAUAUUGACCGUGCAAAGGUAGCAUAAUCAUUAGUCUUUUAAUAGAGGGCUGGAAUGAAUGGUUUAACGAGGAACUAGCUGUCUCAUUUUAUUUGUUUUAGAAUUUAAUUUUUUAGUUAAAAAGCUAAAAUUUUAUUGGAAGACGAGAAGACCCUAUAGAUCUUUAUAUAAUUUUAUUUAUUUAUUUAUAUAUUAAUGUAAUUAUAUUUAAAUUAUAUUUUGUUGGGGUGACAAAAAUACAUAAUUAACUUUUUCAUUUAUUUACCAUUUAUAUAUGAGUAUUAGAUCCAUUUUUAGUGAUUGUUAGAAUAAGUUACCUUAGGGAUAACAGCGUAAUCCUCCUCCAGAGUUCAUAUUUACAGGAGGGCUUGCGACCUCGAUGUUGGAUUAAGAUAAUAAUUAGGUGUAGCCGCUUAAUGUAUAGGUCUGUUCGACCUUUAAAUUCUU
RNAcentral lists this ribosomal RNA (505 nucleotides) under Sympetrum depressiusculum. Its description in RNAcentral is "partial 16S rRNA". It matches the Rfam family "Bacterial large subunit ribosomal RNA", at positions 1819 to 2597 of the family's 2925-position model. The record is from RNAcentral. Lineage: Eukaryota; Metazoa; Arthropoda; Insecta; Odonata; Libellulidae.